CCUACGGGAGGCAGCAGUGGGGGAUAUUGGACAAUGGGCGCAACCCUGACCCAGCAACGCCGCGUGAGUGAAGAAGUCUUUCGGGUUGUAAACUUCUGUUAUCAGGGACGAAAGAAAUGACGGUACCUGACGAAUAAGCCACGGCUAACUACGUGCCAGCAGCCGCGGUAAUACGUAGGUGGCAAGCGUUAUCCGGAGUUAUUGGGUGUAAAGGGCGUGUAGACGGGAAUGCAAGUCAGAUGUGAAAACUAUGGGCUCAACCCAUAGACUGCAUUUGAAACUGUAUUUCUUGAGUGCUGGAGAGGCAAGCGGAAUUCCGGGUGUAGCGGUGAAAUGCGUAGAUAUAAGGAGGAACACCAGUGGCGAAGGCGGAUUGCUGGACAGUAACUGACGCUGAGGCGCGAAAGCGUGGGGAGCAAACAGGAUUAGAUACCCGAGUAGUC
This 443-nucleotide ribosomal RNA is filed under the name uncultured bacterium. RNAcentral describes it as "partial 16S ribosomal RNA". It matches the Rfam family "Bacterial small subunit ribosomal RNA", at positions 338 to 795 of the family's 1533-position model. The record is from RNAcentral.